Long non-coding RNA from Carassius auratus (goldfish), 363 nucleotides. RefSeq lists it as uncharacterized. The record is from RefSeq and is a predicted model, not a curated record. The transcript has 3 exons. Lineage: Eukaryota; Metazoa; Chordata; Actinopteri; Cypriniformes; Cyprinidae.
CUCUGCACGGCCCUGCUGCUCUUUGUUGAUUGUUCAUCGUAAUUGUUUGCCACCCAUUUACAUGAGAGGAAGGUGAGGAGUGACCGGAGAUCAAGGAGAAGAGAAUGUUCCUGUAUGUACACGUUCAUCUCUGUCGUUUGAAGAACAGAAGGCAUUGUUGCUCUUGGAAAUGGAGAAGAAUAGAAUAAGUCAAGAAGUUGAGCUGCGCGGCCGCAGAGAUACAGGACACCUGACUCCCAUUAGGAGGUGGAGAUAAAUAUUGUGGUUUCAUGCAAUGAGGGGGGCACGGAGAGUUGACAUCAUCUCCGGUUGGCCUCGGGUUGCCUCGCUUUGGGAUCGAUCGUUGUCUGCCUUUUGUAUUGU